AACGAACGCUGGCGGCAUGCCUAAUACAUGCAAGUCGAACGAGAAAGUUCCUUCGGGAGCGAGUAAAGUGGCGCACGGGUGAAUAACACGUAGGUGACCUACCUAGUAGAACGGGAUAACAGUAAGAAAUUAUUGCUAAUACCGUAUAAGUUCAGUGAAAGUGGAAGUAACUGAAGAAAGGAUGGCCUCUAUUUAUAAGCUAUCGCUACAUGAAGGGCCUGCGGCUCAUUAGCUAGUUGGUGGGGUAAAG
RNAcentral lists this ribosomal RNA (250 nucleotides) under uncultured bacterium. RNAcentral describes it as "partial 16S ribosomal RNA". It matches the Rfam family "Bacterial small subunit ribosomal RNA", at positions 29 to 262 of the family's 1533-position model. The record is from RNAcentral.